UCACUGUUGCACAAUGUAUAUAUACGCAAGAUGUUUAUACUCAAAAACUGCAGUAUGUAUAGGGUUUGAACUUUAAUUUGUAGAUAGGUAAAUCCAUUACGCUAUAGUGAAAUGUGUAUGGGCGGCUUGAAAAAACUACAAAAUAUUAAAAAAAAAUAAUAAGUCAUAGAAAAAUAAGUGUUGUCCAGUCGAAAAACACGUAGGUAUUUUCAAAAAAAGUUGAAACAUUUGGGGUGCCUGGUUAAGGAUUUUUCUUUUAAUAGUUAUCUUUAAUACAUAUUAUCUAGGUAGUUAGGAUAUUUUUCAUUAGAUUUUAAUUUCAUUACUUAAUAGAACUUUUAGGAUGCUUAAUCUCCAUAAUUUUUAAAAACCUAAUUUAUUUCUGACUUUAAAUAUAUAAUAAAUGUAACAGUAAUACAUAUUAGAAAUUAAAUAAUCACUCUGAUAAUAACUGUAGAUGAUUAUAAAAUCAACCUCUGUUUAACAGUAAAAUUUCUAAAAGAACAGUAAUCACAUAGGUUAUUUCUGUUGUCGUUUUUUAGGUACACUAUUAUUUAUAUAAUUCCAUCAUAUAUGUCAAUACAAAUUGAUUACUCUUUAAUGGACUACAAAAAUUGCCCCUUUGGCAACAAGGUUCUUCCGCACUCUAAUAUGGGCCUGCUAAUGGGUCACUAUAUAUUAUACAAUUUCCUUGACCUUUCUGAAGUCCUAAUCUGUUCCAGAUUAUAUUGAAAUAAAAAUGUUUUAUUUGAAUACAUAUUUCAUUUUAAUAAUUAUAAUUUAUAAUUGAUCAUAAACUUAUAUGGUUAAAAACUAUAAAUUAUAUACUGUAUUUACAUAUUUUACUGUGACAUGAUUAAAUAUUAAAUAAUUUACUGUUUAUUAUAAAAUAUAUCUGCCAAUGUUUGUUUCAUUUUAGUAUUAUAAUUUUUAGAUAUAAUGGAUUCUUCUGAACUUAACUGUAUUUCAAAAAAUAAAUGUUUUGGAGGUUCUCAACGAGUUUAUGAACAUUUUAGGUAAUUAUUUAAACAAUUAUGAUAAUUGCUGUACGUCUGAUUACGAGAUGUUUAUUUAAUUUUUUUUAUUUUUCAGUUCUUCAUUACAAUGUAACAUGAAAUUUGCUAUUUACAUUCCUCCAGAAACAAUACGUUCUGAAAAAUUCCCUGUAUUGUUUUACUUAUCAGGUUUAACAUGCAGUGAACAAAAUGUCAUCACUAAGUCAGGAUUUCAAAAAUUUGCUGCUCAAUAUAAAAUAAUUAUUGUUGCUCCUGACACUAGCCCUAGUAAGUUGAUAUCUAAACUGAUACAUAAUUGUGUAAAAUUGU
RNAcentral lists this long non-coding RNA (1325 nucleotides) under Cinara cedri. Lineage: Eukaryota; Metazoa; Arthropoda; Insecta; Hemiptera; Aphididae. The record is from RNAcentral.